UGAUGUUCUUAAGCACCAAAGCACUGGCUCAAAGGUUUAGCCAUGAGUAGGAUGUCCUUCAGGAAGACUCAUAGAUGACUCAUCAUAACAAUGCUCCCAGGGUACCAGAAGGUGCUAUGCAAGCCAACAAAGGAGAAAAGCAGCUAAUGGUCCUACCCAGAGUGACACCGAUAAAUCACAACAAUGACCAGCACAGCAAGAUAUCCACAAAGGAGACAUGAAACUUUGGGCCUAUCAUCAGCACCUCCUUAAGCUGAGAACUUGGCCAGGUGAGGUUAGCUGUGGCUUGUUCUGUCUCUGACCAUCCAGCAUUCACCCCAAUACCUAGCUCAGGUUGGAUUUAAUUAAUAAGACCUUUUAAGAUUCCAGCUAUAUCUGGCUCCUAACUUGUCAGGUAGGAAUUCAUGAAAAAGCUACUUGCCUGUGGUCUUGAGGGCCCCAGGUCAGAUCCAAGCUACCCUCAGCUGGUUGUGGUGGUGCACAUGGGUAGGAGUUGCUGAAGAAGGCAAAGGUAGGAGGAUCCUGAGUUUAAGGCCAGCCUAGAAGGCUUGGGAGAAGCUUCAGCGCGGACCGAACCACAAACAGUGGUGGGACCAUGGAGGC
This is a non-coding RNA of Peromyscus maniculatus bairdii (prairie deer mouse), 603 nucleotides long. The record is from RefSeq and is a predicted model, not a curated record. NCBI's taxonomy places the organism in Eukaryota, Metazoa, Chordata, Mammalia, Rodentia, Cricetidae.